GAUGAACGCUGGCGGCGUGCCUAAUACAUGCAAGUCGAGCGAACAGAUGAGGAGCUUGCUCCUCUGACGUUAGCGGCGGACGGGUGAGUAACACGUGGAUAACCUACCUAUAAGACUGGGAUAACUUCGGGAAACCGGAGCUAAUACCGGAUAAUAUAUUGAACCGCAUGGUUCAAUAGUGAAAGACAGUUUUGCUGUCACUUAUAGAUGGAUCCGCGCCGCAUUAGCUAGUUGGUAAGGUAACGGCUUACCAAGGCAACGAUGCGUAGCCGACCUGAGAGGGUGGUCGGCCACACUGGAACUGAGACACGGUCCAGACUCCUACGGGAGGCAGCAGUAGGGAAUCUUCCGCAAUGGGCGAAAGCCUGACGGAGCAACGCCGCGUGAGUGAUGAAGGUCUUCGGAUCGUAAAACUCUGUUAUUAGGGAAGAACAAAUGUGUAAGUAACUAUGCACGUCUUGACGGUACCUAAUCAGAAAGCCACGGCUAACUACGUG
RNAcentral lists this ribosomal RNA (497 nucleotides) under uncultured bacterium. RNAcentral describes it as "partial 16S ribosomal RNA". It matches the Rfam family "Bacterial small subunit ribosomal RNA", at positions 28 to 507 of the family's 1533-position model. The record is from RNAcentral.